UGUUACAGCACGGCAUCAGCAGAGGAUCAGUCCUGCCAGCUCCCAAGGAGACAGAUCAAAAUUUGCUGAUAUAGAUUUCAUAGCACUUACUCUGACUCCAAAGGCUCAGAAUAGGGCUGUUGCAGUUUUGAAAUAAGUGUGUCAGGUGCUGCAGAACACUUCCAUACGAUCAACACAGCUCUUCUUGUGGUUGACAUAUCAAAAUGACGUUAUGUACAGUGAUGUAGUUUCACGUCCUUCUAGUAUUCUUGCUCUGAGAAUCACCUGCUGUUCCUCCUUCACAAAGAGGAUCCCAGAAGCUACUGGCAGGAAGACAAAAAGGCAGAAAUGUCAUAGAAAACACAGAAUCCAUCCGUUACAGAGGUUUUACAUCAGCAUCUGUUGUCACUACCAGGACCAGCACUGGUGCUCCCCACUUCUCAGAGUUGCCCUUUUGAUUUUCAGAAGCUCAGCUGUCUAUCUGUUGAAGAAACUAGCCUAUGGAGGGCACAUCUCAGAUACAGAGCUGUAUUUUGAUACAAGCACAUUGGAUAAUGUGGAAGAAGAUGGCAUGGGACAGUUGAUCCUAGAGGAGCAAAACUGCUGGAUUGCAGUUAACGGCUUAACAAUCUUUGUGUAUGCGGGAAGAUCUUGA
Long non-coding RNA from Numida meleagris (helmeted guineafowl), 634 nucleotides. Lineage: Eukaryota; Metazoa; Chordata; Aves; Galliformes; Numididae. The record is from Ensembl.